AAAGUAAUCACAAAGUAUGGUGAUAUCCGAGAUAGGGUCUCAAUACUCUCUACUCUUGGUACAACAUCAGAGAACCAUUGAUACAACUUCGAAGGCCUUAUUAUACAAAUCUGGCAGAUACCAGUCUCUUUGAGAUUGUGCUGGUGACUUUGUAUCGAAGGGUGCACCGACACCCACAGUGCCGAAUGUAACACAGAAGAACCCUUUUACACUCUCAUUCCUUAUUUAAAGCCGCUACAAUUUACUCUUUUGUGUUUAUACAUUUGAAUCACAACUCAGCAUGCAACAACUCAUCAUCUGAAAAAGAGCUCAUGAAGUAAGAUGUACUCAAGGAUACCUCGCCAAAAAGUCUGGACAGGAUGAGUCGUGCUACAUUCUCAGCUGCAACAGCACUUGUUUCCAUGGUGCUAGCUGCAUUCUCAAAGGCAUUCACAUAGUACAAAUGCUGACCAUCCAAAAUAAAAGGCGCAAAUACUUCAGGAGCUUUGUAAUGAGGGUAAGCACCCCAGUCUAUUCUUAUAGUCUCCUUCCUCACACUAAAAAUGUUAUCAAGUAAUGAAUCAGGCAUUGCUUUUCGAGAGAAUACUUUGUAUGUCAUAUCUGUCUCAUUGUGCCGCUUGAGAAUAGAAAUGCUUGAGAACGGAAGGUCAGGAUCCUCUAUGGUGCCCACAAGUUCUGGAAUUUCUGAGACAGUUUGUAGGCCAAAAUAUCCAGGAUUAAGGAGGCCCCUCACAAAAGUUGCAUGUGUGUGUUGUAAUUGACGCUCAGGAAUUGAUAUUGGAGGUGUAAAUUGAAUAUUCAACUCAUCUAGUGGUGUCGCAAUGGCUGUGACUUCACACAUAUAACUCCUUCCUUUUGUAGAGUUGAGCUCAUAAGAUUCUCCAAGGUUAAAGAUAGACAGUAUUUCUUCAUGGAGGUGCAAUUCAAUAUCUGAUCUAUUAAUUAGCCCACUAGCCAUCUGCCAGUUCCCUCCUUCAAUGGACCACAAACCUCCACCAGACCCUGCCAAGGAAACUGCUCCAGCAAGUCCACUGAUAUAAACACUUUGGCCAUAGUUAAUUCUUGUAAUGACAGUGACAAGUUCUUGAAUCAAUAGAGGAGACAAUGCAACAUUCACCAAUUCCUCUUGCAAAGUGCAAGUAGUUAGAUUGUACAAACCAGCCCACUGCAGCAUCUCAUCUACAGUCUCGAAAGUGGGCCUCGUUUCAAAGCUCUGAUAAUACUUCAAGAACUUGUUUACGGUAACCUCAACGAAGCUGUUCAUUUUGAAAAGCGAAAAGCCAUAGCGCAACAACAUGUAAAGAGAAUUAGCAAAGGAGACGAUCUUCUGUACAAACGGAUUCUUAAACUCAAAAGUCAACGUUUUGAACACAAACUUGUUACCAUUCCAAAUCCCCAGCGAGAAAGAGCUCAUGGAAGUGGGAGGUAUCCUUCGCUUCAAAUUCAGCAAUUUAGUGAAAUUGGACGCGUGAUAGUUCAUGGGAUGAAGAAUGGAGGCACCGGCCUCGAAGGUCUCGCCGGAGAUGGUGACAGUUGCCAUGCGGCCUCCGACGAUCCCGUUUCGCUCGAAAAGAAGGAUACGAGCGGCGGAAGGCGGAGAGUUGGGAGGGGAGUAACUGCGGAGGAAGUGAGCGAGGGAGGAGCCGGCGAUGCCGCUGCCGAUGAUGCAUACGGUGGGGGAAGAGAGGGAUUGAGAUUGGGUGAAGAGAGCAAGGAGGCAGAUGAUGAUCGCGAGUAUGGAUGACAUUUUUGGUGCUACGGGAAGACUGAGCCAACCAACUAACAAAUAACAAUUUAAUUUCCGAUUUAAGCCAAGUAGCUUGAUUCGUCGUUGGUCGUUUAAUUGUGCAUAAACCAUCAGCAGCGAGGCUGUGGGCUUCACAUGGAUUCCGUCCG
This 1896-nucleotide unclassified non-coding RNA is filed under the name Hevea brasiliensis (rubber tree). Lineage: Eukaryota; Viridiplantae; Streptophyta; Magnoliopsida; Malpighiales; Euphorbiaceae. The record is from RNAcentral.